This 352-nucleotide small RNA is filed under the name Callithrix jacchus (white-tufted-ear marmoset). Its description in RNAcentral is "Metazoan signal recognition particle RNA (ENSCJAG00000079365.1)". Lineage: Eukaryota; Metazoa; Chordata; Mammalia; Primates; Cebidae. The record is from RNAcentral.
GCUGGGCAUGGUGGCGCGUGCCUGUAAUCCCAGCUACUCGGGAGGCUGAGGCAGGAGAAUUGCCUGAACCCAGGAGGCGGAGGUUGCGGUGAGCCGAGAUCGCGCCAUUGCACUCCAGCCUGGGUAACAAGAGUGAAACUCCGUCUCAAAAAAAAAAAAAAAAAGAAAAAAAAAGCCACAUUCCCAUUCCUGAGCCUCUGCACUUGCUGCUGUUCUGGGUUGGUUCAAGGGUUUUGUUUGUUUGUUUGUUCGAGAUGGAGUCGCGCUCCGUGGCUCAGGCUGGAGAGCAGUGGCACAAUCUUGGCUCACUGCAACCUCUGCCUCCUGGGCUCAAGCAAUUCCCCUGCCUCAG